RNAcentral lists this ribosomal RNA (592 nucleotides) under Macrophthalmus banzai. Its description in RNAcentral is "partial 16S ribosomal RNA". The record is from RNAcentral. Lineage: Eukaryota; Metazoa; Arthropoda; Malacostraca; Decapoda; Macrophthalmidae.
GGAGAGAAUAAGAAAAAUAAUUUUUGUAAUUUUAGUAAUUUUUAAUGAAAAUAAAGUAAAGACUAAAGAGAAAAGUACUGUGAAGGAAAGUUGUUAAAACUUUUUAUAGAAGAAGUAAAAUUUUGUGCCUCGUGUAUCAGAAAAAGUUUAUAUAGUUUAAUUACAAUAAGUAUCUCGAAAUAAAAUACAGUAAUUUUUAUAAAAUUUUCUUUUUAGAAAAAAAGAAUUUAAUAUAAAAUUUAAAGUGAAAUGCUAGCUGAGUUUUAUGAUAUCUAGUUUUUUUAAAAAUAAAUUUAAUUUAAUUUUUAUAAAGAAAAAGUUAUAAAAUUAAAUGGUAGGGGGGAUUAGCUCUUUACGGAAAAGAUAAUGAAAUAGUUAAAUAAAAGUAAAUUAUAUAAAUUAGGCUUAGAAGUAGCUAUAUUGAAAAAGUGUUUUAACUAAAUUAUAAUUGCUUGAAUAUUUAAAAUAAAACUUUUCUUAGGUAUAAAAAAAUGGCUUAAACAAAACAAAACAAGAUAUGAUGAUUUUAUUAGUAAAAUUUAUUGAGUAAAUAAAGAUAUUAAAAGGUAAAAAUUGUUUAAAAAAAUAAGUA